CGCAUAUACCAGAGAUCAUCAUAAAUUAAUCGAUCGGUCUUCUUCAUCAACUCAACCCUUUCUUUCUCUGCAUUUCUACGAUUUUAUUAUUAUCUUCAUGGAUUCACAUGUAUCUGAGUCCUGGUGGCACUGAUUCAUCUUGCAUGUUUAAAAAAGAAACACUUUCAGAGCCUUCCACCAUCGGAUAUGCGCCAAAGUUGCAAAAGUGCCUUAAAGAGUUGCAUAAAAAAAAAUGGUAUGAAAGUGUAUAUAGUGAUGGAAGGAGAAAAUGAGUCAAUGAGCGGUGGGUUUCCUACACUUGGUAUACCAAUUGCACCAACGAACUUUUGAAGGAUGGUACAGGGGGGCACAAUUGCAAACAACUAUAAAGUUGAUAAUGCAGUAUCUAACAAAGGGCAGGGAGCGUGGUAAUUCAGAAGGAAGGAUAUGGUAUUCAGGAGGGAGCUGAUAGUGUUUUAAGUUAGAAUUUUGAU
Molecule: long non-coding RNA, 473 nt
Organism: Papaver somniferum (opium poppy)
Lineage: Eukaryota; Viridiplantae; Streptophyta; Magnoliopsida; Ranunculales; Papaveraceae
Exons: 3
Source: RefSeq, a predicted model, not a curated record